This 84-nucleotide transfer RNA is filed under the name Trematosphaeria pertusa. It matches the Rfam family "tRNA". Rfam says of the family: Transfer RNA (tRNA) molecules are approximately 80 nucleotides in length. Their secondary structure includes four short double-helical elements and three loops (D, anti-codon, and T loops). Further hydrogen bonds mediate the characteristic L-shaped molecular structure. tRNAs have two regions of fundamental functional importance: the anti-codon, which is responsible for specific mRNA codon recognition, and the 3' end, to which the tRNAs corresponding amino acid is attached (by aminoacyl-tRNA synthetases). tRNAs cope with the degeneracy of the genetic code in two manners: having more than one tRNA (with a specific anti-codon) for a particular amino acid; and 'wobble' base-pairing, i.e. permitting non-standard base-pairing at the 3rd anti-codon position. Lineage: Eukaryota; Fungi; Ascomycota; Dothideomycetes; Pleosporales; Trematosphaeriaceae. The record is from Rfam by way of RNAcentral.
GGCCAUGUGGCCCAAUGGCAAGGCGCUUGACUACGAUUCAAAUCCGACAUCAAGAGAUUCCAGGUUCGACCCCUGGCAUGGUCA